GACGGAGGGUGCUAGCGUUGUUCGGAAUCACUGGGCGUAAAGGGCGCGUAGGCGGCGAUGGCAGUCGGGUGUGAAAGCCCGGAGCUCAACUCCGGAAUGGCACUCGAGACGCCAUGGCUGGAGGCCGGAAGAGGAGGGUGGAAUACCCAGUGUAGAGGUGAAAUUCGUAGAUAUUGGGUGGAACACCGGUGGCGAAAGCGGCUCUCUGGUCCGGACCUGACGCUGAGGAGCGAAAGCGUGGGGAGCAAACAGG
This 253-nucleotide ribosomal RNA is filed under the name uncultured bacterium. Its description in RNAcentral is "partial 16S ribosomal RNA". It matches the Rfam family "Bacterial small subunit ribosomal RNA", at positions 524 to 776 of the family's 1533-position model. The record is from RNAcentral.